This 497-nucleotide ribosomal RNA is filed under the name uncultured bacterium. Its description in RNAcentral is "partial 16S ribosomal RNA". It matches the Rfam family "Bacterial small subunit ribosomal RNA", at positions 28 to 507 of the family's 1533-position model. The record is from RNAcentral.
GAUGAACGCUGGCGGCGUGCCUAAUACAUGCAAGUCGAGCGAACAGACGAGGAGCUUGCUCCUCUGACGUUAGCGGCGGACGGGUGAGUAACACGUGGAUAACCUACCUAUAAGACUGGGAUAACUUCGGGAAACCGGAGCUAAUACCGGAUAAUAUAUUGAACCGCAUGGUUCAAUAGUGAAAGACGGUUUUGCUGUCACUUAUAGAUGGAUCCGCGCCGCCUUAGCUAGUUGGUAAGGUAACGGCUUACCAAGGCGACGAUGCGUAGCCGACCUGAGAGGGUGAUCAGCCACACUGGAACUGAGACACGGUCCAGACUCCUACGGGAGGCAGCAGUGGGGAAUCUUCCGCAAAGGGCGAAAGCCUGACGGAGCAACGCCGCGUGAGUGAUGAAGGUCUUCGGAUCGUAAAACUCUGUUAUUAGGGAAGAACAAAUGUGUAAGUAACUAUGCACGUCUUGACGGUACCUAAACAGAAAGCCACGGCUAACUACGUG